This 270-nucleotide ribosomal RNA is filed under the name uncultured archaeon. Its description in RNAcentral is "partial 16S ribosomal RNA". It matches the Rfam family "Archaeal small subunit ribosomal RNA", at positions 477 to 747 of the family's 1478-position model. The record is from RNAcentral.
CAGCACCUCAAGUGGUCAGGAUGAUUAUUGGGCCUAAAGCAUCCGUAGACGGCUCUGUAAGUUUUCGGUUAAAUCUGUACGCUCAACGUACAGGCUGCCGGGAAUACUGCAGAGCUAGGGAGUGGGAGAGGUAGACGGUACUCGGUAGGAAGGGGUAAAAUCCUUUGAUCUAUUGAUGACCACCUGUGGCGAAGGCGGUCUACCAGAACACGUCCGACGGUGAGGGAUGAAAGCUGGGGGAGCAAACCGGAUUAGAUACCCGCGUAGUCC